RNAcentral lists this ribosomal RNA (829 nucleotides) under uncultured bacterium. Its description in RNAcentral is "bacterial SSU rRNA". It matches the Rfam family "Bacterial small subunit ribosomal RNA", at positions 28 to 853 of the family's 1533-position model. The record is from RNAcentral.
AUUGAACGCUGGCGGCAUGCCUUACACAUGCAAGUCGAACGGCAGCACGGGAGCAAUCCUGGUGGCGAGUGGCGAACGGGUGAGUAAUAUAUCGGAACGUGCCCAGUCGUGGGGGAUAACGCAGCGAAAGCUGUGCUAAUACCGCAUACGAUCCAUGGAUGAAAGCGGGGGAUCGCAAGACCUCGCGCGAUUGGAGCGGCCGAUAUCAGAUUAGGUAGUUGGUGGGGUAAAAGCCCACCAAGCCGACGAUCUGUAGCUGGUCUGAGAGGACGACCAGCCACACUGGAACUGAGACACGGUCCAGACUCCUACGGGAGGCAGCAGUGGGGAAUUUUGGACAAUGGGCGCAAGCCUGAUCCAGCAAUGCCGCGUGCAGGAUGAAGGCCUUCGGGUUGUAAACUGCUUUUGUACGGAACGAAACGGUCUACCCUAAUACGGUGGGCUAAUGACGGUACCGUAAGAAUAAGCACCGGCUAACUACGUGCCAGCAGCCGCGGUAAUACGUAGGGUGCGAGCGUUAAUCGGAAUUACUGGGCGUAAAGCGUGCGCAGGCGGUUAUAUAAGACAGAUGUGAAAUCCCCGGGCUCAACCUGGGACCUGCAUUUGUGACUGUAUAGCUAGAGUACGGUAGAGGGGGAUGGAAUUCCGCGUGUAGCAGUGAAAUGCGUAGAUAUGCGGAGGAACACCGAUGGCGAAGGCAAUCCCCUGGACCUGUACUGACGCUCAUGCACGAAAGCGUGGGGAGCAAACAGGAUUAGAUACCCUGGUAGUCCACGCCCUAAACGAUGUCAACUGGUUGUUGGGUCUUCACUGACUCAGUAACGAAGCU